UAACAAAUAUUCCUGCUGUUCUGAUUUUGUAAUAAUCAGGACAGGCUAAACAUUUGCUAUAUUAAGACCAUACAUGUCUCCCCAGACUGAUUCUUCCCCUAGAUCUGGUUUUAUCAAUGCUGGUGAUUUAC
This is a small nucleolar RNA of Hyaena hyaena (striped hyena), 131 nucleotides long. RefSeq annotates it as small nucleolar RNA SNORA72. The record is from RefSeq and is a predicted model, not a curated record. Lineage: Eukaryota; Metazoa; Chordata; Mammalia; Carnivora; Hyaenidae. The transcript has a single exon.